AUUGAACGCUGGCGGCAUGCCUUACACAUGCAAGUCGAGCGGCAGCACGGGGCAACCUGGUGGCGAGUGGCGAACGGGUGAGUAAUGCAUCGGAACGUACCUUUCAGUGGGGGAUAACGUAGCGAAAGUUACGCUAAUACCGCAUAUUCUGUGAGCAGGAAAGCAGGGGAUCGCAAGACCUUGCGCUGAUUGAGCGGCCGAUGUCAGAUUAGCUAGUUGGUGAGGUAAAGGCUCACCAAGGCGACGAUCUGUAGCGGGUCUGAGAGGAUGAUCCGCCACACGGGAACUGAGACACGGUCCAGACUCCUACGUGAGGCAGCAGUGGGGAAUUUUGGACAAUGGGGGCAACCCUGAUCCAGCCAUGCCGCGUGAGUGAAGAAGGCCUUCGGGUUGUAAAGCUCUUUCGGCCGGGAAGAAAUCGCACGGGCUAAUACCCUGUGUGGAUGACGGUACCGGAAUAAGAAGCACCGGCUAACUACGUGCCAGCCGCCGCCGUAA
RNAcentral lists this ribosomal RNA (498 nucleotides) under uncultured bacterium. RNAcentral's name for it is "partial 16S ribosomal RNA". It matches the Rfam family "Bacterial small subunit ribosomal RNA", at positions 30 to 523 of the family's 1533-position model. The record is from RNAcentral.